UACGUAGGCAGCAAGCGUUGUUCGGAGUUACUGGGCGUAAAGGGUGCGUAGGUGGCUCUAUAAGUAUGGUGUGAAAUCUCCCGGCUUAACUGGGAGGGUGCGCCGUAGACUGUGGGGCUAGAGUGUGGGAGAGGAAAGUGGAAUUCCAGGUGUAGCGGUGAAAUGCGUAGAUAUCUGGAGGAACACCGGUGGCGAAGGCGGCAUCCUGGACCGACACUGACGCUGAGGCGCGAAAGCUAGGGUAGCAAACGGG
RNAcentral lists this ribosomal RNA (253 nucleotides) under uncultured bacterium. RNAcentral describes it as "partial 16S ribosomal RNA". It matches the Rfam family "Bacterial small subunit ribosomal RNA", at positions 524 to 776 of the family's 1533-position model. The record is from RNAcentral.